Molecule: long non-coding RNA, 821 nt
Filed under: Pongo abelii (Sumatran orangutan)
Lineage: Eukaryota; Metazoa; Chordata; Mammalia; Primates; Hominidae
Description: lincRNA
Source: RNAcentral
AGGUUACUUGGUACAGUGGUCGACAAAACGUUGAAAUGUUGAUGUUUAAGGGCUGUUGAUUGCUGGCAGCAAAGAAGUCCAACUGUGCUGGCACCCGAGAUAGCGUCUUCACAUUUUCUUCCAGGAUCAUCACCUUUGUUCUAAAUAGCUCCCACAUAGUGUGAACAGAAGUCACAUGUUUUAGAUUUUCUGCCUUGGCACCCAGGAAACCAGUAUGAUUGAGUAAACAUAUUAAACUUCCUCUGCAUUUCCAGCCUGAACAGAUGUUAAGUACGAACUGAUCCACCUACAUUCAACCCGAGAGAGUCCACAUCCACAGACCGUUUCAUUUCCCUUUUUCAAUUUACAUAGAAGCAUAGAUUCUUGCUGGCAUAUAUAAAUGCACCAUUUAAGGCAAUCAAAAAUGGUUCCACAUCUCACUUGAUUUCCACAAUUGUUGCUGUAACGAUGGACUACUGAGGAGAGAAACUUAAUUUCUCUGGCAGAUCUUCUCACGUUUAAGCAACAUGUUCAUGGAGAGCCAAUAUUCAGUAAUUACAGCACAAUUCCUCACAAUUUCACAAUUCACUAACAGUAUGCAUUUUCACAAUGUAAAGCUGAUUUUCCUUUAACCAAAUAAAACAUGAAAAGAUAGCUGCAAGCAAUGGGCAAUCUAGAUCAUUAGAUGAUUGAUGUAAAAUUAGAGGACAUUGAGACUGGAAUAGAUUGCAAACAUCAGGGAGCUCAGAAAACUUGUAAACUCUACAUUUUGAGGAAAUAUGUUGUUGAUGCUUUUGCAGCUCUAUGCAGCAACCUAACAAAUAAAGGCUUAAAAUAAUUUA